AACAGCUAGCACCGAGCACAAGUUAUUUUGUUGGCCGUGUUUACUUUUUAAUCCGAGUAAAGGGACGGAAUGACAGACCCAAGGACUUUAUUUACAAGUGACAGCUUCUGGAACUUAAACUACUAAGUUCCUGGCAGUGCUCACGACGCGAACAUGCUGAGACAGUCAGACCUCUUUAAUAAAGCUCACCUACUGCCCAAGAGUAUGACGGCAAUUCAAGACACGCCUGUCAACUUCAUUCUUCGUGGAGAUCCUGCAUACCCACUUCUUGAAUGGCUAAUUAAAGGAUACCCAUCAUCCCCCACACUGACCCCAGAACAAGAGUCUUUUAAUAUCUAUCACAGUGCUGCAAGAACAGUGGUAGAACUUGCAUUCGGACAUUUCAAGUCAAGAUGGAGGGUUCUGAUGAAA
Onychostoma macrolepis is the source of this 411-nucleotide long non-coding RNA. RefSeq lists it as uncharacterized. Lineage: Eukaryota; Metazoa; Chordata; Actinopteri; Cypriniformes; Cyprinidae. The transcript has 3 exons. The record is from RefSeq and is a predicted model, not a curated record.